RNAcentral lists this ribosomal RNA (451 nucleotides) under uncultured bacterium. RNAcentral's name for it is "partial 16S ribosomal RNA". It matches the Rfam family "Bacterial small subunit ribosomal RNA", at positions 328 to 794 of the family's 1533-position model. The record is from RNAcentral.
GAGCCAGACUCCUACGGGAGGCAGCAGUGGGGAAUAUUGCACAAUGGGGGGAACCCUGAUGCAGCGACGCCGCGUGGGCGAGGAAGUAUUUCGGUAUGUAAAGCCCUAUCGGCAGGGAAGAAGAAAUGACGGUACCUGAAUAAGAAGCACCGGCUAAAUACGUGCCAGCAGCCGCGGUAAUACGUAGGGGGCAAGCGUUAUCCGGAUUUACUGGGUGUAAAGGGGGCGCAGACGGCGAUGCAAGCCAGGAGUGAAAGCCCGGGGCCCAACCCCGGGACUGCUCUUGGAACUGCGGCGCUGGAGUACGGGAGGGGCAGGCGGAAUUCCUGGUGUAGCGGUGAAAUGCGUAGAUAUCAGGAGGAACACCGGCGGCGAAGGCGGCCUGCUGGACCGUGACUGACGUUGAGGCUCGAGAGCGUGGGGAGCAAACAGGAUUAGAUACCCCAGUAAC